UCAUCACGCCCCACCCCGAGCGCCGGCAGUCCACAUACGCGCCCCGGUAGACGGACCCCGAUCGCCACACGUAUGUGCCCUGGCCUUGGCGUAUCCCGUCGACGUACUCGCCGUCGUACCGGUCGCCGUCGUCGGCCUCGAUUGUGCGGCCGUGCUUUUUGCCGCGCGCCCAUUGACCUUCUUCGGUGCGCGAUCCGCCAGAGGCCGACGCCAGCGCAAAGGCGUCCCGCGGGUCGACGUCGCGCGCCCUAGUCAGGCACUCGACGUACACGUGUAGUCCGUAGCCGUGCGGCACACCGCCGUCCAGGUCGCCGCAGUAAAAGUGGCCCAUCUUUGUCAUGGCCACGCAGCCGGGUCCCUCUGCCGGGGCGGCGUCGGCACGCCGAGAGCGCGCCCGGUAGAGCCAACGCCAGUCCUUGCCAAACUCGGCAAAGUGCUUGUGCACCGACGGUCCGUAGCGGCGGACGUAUAGGCUCUGCCAUAGCGUGUCGUCACGGCUCAGGGCAGCGAGGCGGCGGGCCACGGACGCCGCACGGGCCGGCACCUCGGCGUCGGACAGCGCACUGAAUACGCCCAGCAAAAGUUCGUCGGGCAGUGCAAGCAAGAGGCACUCGUCGACCGCAUUGUCGUCAUGCAAAUCGACGGCCGACGGCGGCGUGUGCCUGUCGUUGGCGGGCCUGCCAUCGUCGCCAUCAUCAUCUUCUCUGUCGCUGCCUCCUCUGCGCAGAGCACAGUCGAGAUCCAUUCCUUCGAGAGACAUGCCCGACUGUCGCUUUUUCUUUCUUCUUUUGCGGGCAGCAGACAGUUUUGCCCGACAAGCGGUGGCCAGACAAAAAAGGCGUUGGCCUUGACUGUUGCGCGUGUGGGUCUCGCCAAACCAUAACCCCCCGGACGGAACCCAACAUCUUGACGAUCGCCCACGACCAAUGGACUCUUCUUUUUUUUCAUUCGCGCAAACAAAAAUUUUGGCAAACAAAAAAGAGAACGGCGCGA
Molecule: long non-coding RNA, 993 nt
Filed under: Pandoravirus dulcis
Description: putative ncRNA
Source: RNAcentral